CCUCUCCGUAGGUGAACCUGCGGAAGGAUCAUUACCUAGAGUUGUAGGCUUUGCCUGCUAUCUCUUACCCAUGUCUUUUGAGUACCUUCGUUUCCUCGGCGGGUCCGCCCGCCGAUUGGACACAUUUAAACCCUUUGUAGUUGCAAUCAGCGUCUGAAAAACUUUAAUAGUUACAACUUUCAACAACGGAUCUCUUGGUUCUGGCAUCGAUGAAGAACGCAGCGAAAUGCGAUAAGUAGUGUGAAUUGCAGAAUUCAGUGAAUCAUCGAAUCUUUGAACGCACAUUGCGCCCCUUGGUAUUCCAUGGGGCAUGCCUGUUCGAGCGUCAUUUGUACCUUCAAGCUUUGCUUGGUGUUGGGUGUUUGUCUCGCCUCUGCGCGCAGACUCGCCUCAAAACAAUUGGCAGCCGGCGUAUUGAUUUCGGAGCGCAGUACAUCUCGCGCUUUGCACUCAUAACGACGACAUCCAAAAAGUACAUUUUUUACACUCUUGACCUCGGAUCAGGUAGGGAUACCCGCUGAACUUAAGCAUAUCAAUAAGCCAAGGAA
RNAcentral lists this ribosomal RNA (548 nucleotides) under Alternaria porri. RNAcentral describes it as "eukaryotic LSU rRNA". The stretch from base 175 to 328 matches the Rfam family "5.8S ribosomal RNA". Lineage: Eukaryota; Fungi; Ascomycota; Dothideomycetes; Pleosporales; Pleosporaceae. The record is from RNAcentral.